GACGAACGCUGGCGGCGUGUUUAACACAUGCAAGUCGAACGGAAAGGCCCUGCUUUUGUGGGGUGCUCGAGUGGCGAACGGGUGAGUAACACGUGAGUAACCUGCCCUUGACUUUGGGAUAACUUCAGGAAACUGGGGCUAAUACCGGAUAGGAGCUCCUGCUGCAUGGUGGGGGUUGGAAAGUUUCGGCGGUUGGGGAUGGACUCGCGGCUUAUCAGCUUGUUGGUGGGGUAGUGGCUUACCAAGGCUUUGACGGGUAGCCGGCCUGAGAGGGUGACCGGCCACAUUGGGACUGAGAUACGGCUCAGACUCCUACGGGAGGCAGCAGUGGGGAAUAUUGCACAAUGGGCGGAAGCCUGAUGCAGCAACGCCGCGUGCGGGAUGACGGCCUUCGGGUUGUAAACCGCUUUCGCCUGUGACGAAGCGUGAGUGACGGUAAUGGGUAAAGAAGCACCGGCUAACUACGUGCCAGCAGCCGCGGUGAUACGUAGGGUGCGAGCGUUGUCCGGAUUUAUUGGGCGUAAAGGGCUCGUAGGUGGUUGAUCGCGUCGGAAGUGUAAUCUUGGGGCUUAACCCUGAGCGUGCUUUCGAUACGGGUUGACUUGAGGAAGGUAGGGGAGAAUGGAAUUCCUGGUGGAGCGGUGGAAUGCGCAGAUAUCAGGAGGAACACCAGUGGCGAAGGCGGUUCUCUGGGCCUUUCCUGACGCUGAGGAGCGAAAGCGUGGGGAGCGAACAGGCUUAGAUACCCUGGUAGUCCACGCUGUAAACGGUGGGUACUAGGUGUGGGGUCCAUUCCACGGGUUCCGUGCCGUAGCUAACGCUUUAAGUACCCCGCCUGGGGAGUACGGCCGCAAGGCUAAAACUCAAAGGAAUUGACGGGGCCCCGCACAAGCGGCGGAGCAUGCGGAUUAAUUCGAUGCAACGCGUAGAACCUUACCUGGGUUUGACAUGGAUCGGGAGUGCUCAGAGAUGGGUGUGCCUCUUUUGGGGUCGGUUCACAGGUGGUGCAUGGCUGUCGUCAGCUCGUGUCGUGAGAUGUUGGGUUAAGUCCCGCAACGAGCGCAACCCUUGUUCACUGUUGCCAGCACGUUAUGGUGGGGACUCAGUGGAGACCGCCGGGGUCAACUCGGAGGAAGGUGGGGAUGACGUCAAGUCAUCAUGCCCCUUAUGUCCAGGGCUUCACGCAUGCUACAAUGGCUGGUACAGAGAGUGGCGAGCCUGUGAGGGUGAGCGAAUCUCGGAAAGCCGGUCUCAGUUCGGAUUGGGGUCUGCAACUCGACCUCAUGAAGUCGGAGUCGCUAGUAAUCGCAGAUCAGCAACGCUGCGGUGAAUACGUUCCCGGGGCU
Molecule: ribosomal RNA, 1346 nt
Filed under: uncultured bacterium
Lineage: Bacteria
Description: partial 16S ribosomal RNA
Rfam family: Bacterial small subunit ribosomal RNA
Source: RNAcentral